CUUGGUCAUUUAGAGGAAGUAAAAGUCGUAACAAGGUUUCCGUAGGUGAACCUGCGGAAGGAUCAUUAUCGAAUUUUAAAGAUGUGCUGGCACUCCUUCACCGGUUUGCAUGUGCACUCUACAAAUCUCCUUCUCUUACCCCACUGUGCACACCCAAGUAGACAAACAGAGUUACAGAGCAAUCUGUGUAAUUCCUGAUUUGCCUAUGUUUUUAUCAAACACCAAUAACAUUUUCAGAAUGAUCUAUAUAGUAAGCUUUUAACAAGCUGAAAUUUGAUACAACUUUCAACAAUGGAUCUCUUGGUUCUCGCAUCGAUGAAGAACGCAGCGAAUUGCGAUAUGUAAUGUGAAUUGCAGAAUUCAGUGAAUCAUCGAAUCUUUGAACGCACCUUGCACCCUCUGGCAUUCCGGAGGGUAUGCCUGUUUGAGUGUCAUUAAUCUCUCAACGCAAGAAACUUUGUCUUCUUGUGCUUGGAUAUUGAAGGUUUUGCUGGCGCAAACAACUGUCAGCUCCUUUUAAAUGUAUCAGCAGAGCAGUAUGGGACUGGCCUCAGUUUGAUAAGAAACUUUAUCUAUGCUGUCGCUGGGUUUUCCUCUUUGUGCUCAGCUUCAAAUUGUCUUCGGACUGUCUCUUGAGGCAACAAAAUUUCUAUUGAUCGACCUCAAAUCAGGUAGGACUACCCGCUGAACUUAAGCAUAUCAAUAAGCGGAGGA
RNAcentral lists this ribosomal RNA (714 nucleotides) under uncultured Clavaria. RNAcentral describes it as "eukaryotic LSU rRNA". The stretch from base 281 to 434 matches the Rfam family "5.8S ribosomal RNA". The record is from RNAcentral. Lineage: Eukaryota; Fungi; Basidiomycota; Agaricomycetes; Agaricales; Clavariaceae.